UUUUACGUUAAAAAUUGUGCCUGUUUUACUCGCCCAGACGUAAUUUGUCAAGGAGGUUGCGUUGAGUCAGCUGAUAAUAUUGCUCGAUCGCUUCUAAGAAGAGUACUUGACAUCAUUUCUCUUUGUUUCUUUGAUUAAUAUUUGAAAAUACAAAGUGCCCUCUUUUAUACCUCCAUUUAAACAGCCCUGGCACAUUAUCCCCCUCAGUGUCUGUUUCCCGCUUUCUUUCGAGCUGCUCAGCUGAAUGAUCCUCCCUUUCUUCAAAAGCAACCGAGAUAUCAGAUUUCAACUCUUUUAGCUACAUGCCGCCUCUCUUUCAGUGUUGCCAGCUUGCAAUAGAAUCCGCCAUUCGAACUGCGUGCUCUCAAAUACCAUGAUGGACAAAUAGCUGCAAUUUGACACGAUUCCCUGUAUUGUUGUUCAAUUGAAGCGUUUUUACCGAAAGCUCAAACACUUUGUUAAACUCCUAAGCAUGUCAUUCGUAAUUAUGAAAGCUUGGCAGCAACACUGUUUCCUCCCUCCUUUCUCAGAACUGACUACAAAUUCCAAACUCGAUUCAGUGUCUGCUGAUUUUCGGAGCCCUCCACAAAAGCCAAAGAAUAUCGAAAUUAAAAAAACCAAACCAAUAAGUUUGAUGCGUCUGUCCAUGUUAUCAUCUCAAGUGAAACCAUCUUAGAAAUGUGACGGACGAAAGUCAAAUGAAGAUUAUCUGUCUCUGACAUAACUGAAGCGUAUGUGCGACUUGUAUCAAACACCACCACGCCCAAGGAACAGAAGCAUCGAUCUCAAAAACUGCAAUGGUACCCGCCGAAAGUCUCGACAUCAAGACUUUGAGUAAACAUUGGGAGAAAUUAGAAACUAGAACACCUCUGAUACCUCCGAUGUGUUUUGAGCGCCUGUCAUUGACAACCCGACAUUUCAGAGCUAUGUAGCCCGAGUUUGGCCACGUUCAGGCGGAUCAAUAAGUUGAUUAAUAUUUCAUGGAUCCAGGUAGGACCUUGUGCUGACACAUUUAUUGGAGCCUCGAGCGGACUUCCUUUAUGAUUAUUUUACGCCAUGAAGCUCUCGUCAACUUCAUUCAGUGUGAUCCUCAACUUCUUUGCGUAUCUGUGGUUUGAGGUUAACGCCAAAGGCCACAGACUCUUCGUUUUGAACUCAAUAUUCUUCAGCGUCAUUCCAACCACAGUGAAGACCUAUUGGCGAUCUCGCAAAAAGAUACCUUUGUGCCAUGAAUAUGUCGUGAUCCGAAUGAUGCAUUUACUCGGCUGUGUUCACUUAGGAGUCAUAUUCCAUGCCUUAGACUUGCACCAUGACUUUGAAUCCACCACCAACCAUGCCUAUUUUUAUGUUUGGUUGGUGCACACUCUGUUUGAACUGAUCUUUGAUCGCAAACUACAACGAUUCCAAGAACAAGAUCGAACUCAUGUGAAAGGAAUUGACAAAUACUUCAGCUCGUAAUAUCCGUGCUACAACCUCAGUGUGAUAUACCGGUAUAUUUAUAUUCUCCAAAGUGUCCUAAAUGACGUGUGUUUCAGCAAAACUCAAAGCGUCUGUCCGUAGGCAGGGUCGACCAUCUCCUACAUUCCACCCUGGUCAUGAAAUAUACGGUUCGCCUUGGCGCACUACUCACUACUACUCUUGUUCUUGUGUAAAUAUCCUUAUCAGUAGUCGUCACAUUAUGCUGUUUCCUAGCUUUUCCAUUCAUGAAGUUCAAGUAUUGUCGUGUGAAGUCCAGGUUUUUGUGACUCUUGAACAUGGAAAAAUCUUUUACAAACUUUUUUGUCGCCAUAGUGAUAGAUGUCAUUGUAAGCUCACUACCUCCGACUAACAGACUUGAUAAGGGUAUGGUCCCAGAGGCUUUCCCUGCCGUUAAUGCCAUGCACCUGUUUGUUAUUCUACAUCUGUUCACUUGGGAAACCUUUCCAUCGCUCAAUAUUAUCGUGGACUUUGUUCUCAUAUGUUGUCAGGUGUUGCCCUUUGGUUUCUUGGGGGUCAAGUUGUUUCGCUUGUGGCCCAAAUGGUUUUUCUUCAGACAGACGAUGCAAACCUUAGUAUUUGUACUUGCCAAGAAUGGCUUCAACUCCCUCGCAACCUACGCCUUACCAUUCUUGAAAAAGAGAACGAAACAUCGGAUUGUCCAAGUUCAAGCUAAGAACCUCAACAGCAAGAAACGUUCACGACCAUAGAUAUCAAAUAUAAACCAUUAAAACAUG
Tigriopus californicus is the source of this 2213-nucleotide long non-coding RNA. RefSeq lists it as uncharacterized. Lineage: Eukaryota; Metazoa; Arthropoda; Copepoda; Harpacticoida; Harpacticidae. The transcript has 2 exons. The record is from RefSeq and is a predicted model, not a curated record.